GAUGAACGCUGGCGGCGUGGUUAAGGCAUGCAAGUCGAGAGGGUUUAGACCCUCGGCAAACGGGCUAGUAACACGUAGGAACUUACCCUGAAGUCGUGAAUAAUCUGGAGAAAUCCAGAAUAAUACACGAUGUACUCUACGGAGUAAAGAUUUAUCGCUUCAGGAGAGGCCUGCGUCCUAUCAGCUUGUUGGUGAGGUAAUAGCUCACCAAGGCUAUGACGGGUAGGGGGCGUGAGAGCGUGACCCCCAGCAUUGGGACUGAGACACUGCCCAAACUCCUACGGGAGGCUGCAGUCGAGAAUCUUCCACAAUGGACGAAAGUCUGAUGGAGCGACGCCGCGUGCAGGAUGACGGCCUUCGGGUUGUAAACUGCUUUUCUUAGGGAACAAUUUCGAUGAGGGUACCUAAGGAAUAAGAGGUUACUAACUCUG
This 431-nucleotide ribosomal RNA is filed under the name uncultured bacterium. Its description in RNAcentral is "bacterial SSU rRNA". It matches the Rfam family "Bacterial small subunit ribosomal RNA", at positions 28 to 505 of the family's 1533-position model. The record is from RNAcentral.